GACGAACGCUGGCGGCGUGCUUAACACAUGCAAGUCGAACGGUGAAGCGCCUUCCUUUUUGGUGGGUGUGGAUGAGUGGCGAACGGGUGAGUAACACGUGAGUAACCUGCCCCCCUCUUCUGGAUAGCCGCAUGAAAGUGUGGCUAAUACGGGAUAUUCUGGGUCUGUCGCAUGAUGGGUCGGGGCAAGAUAUUGUUUCGGUGGGGGAUGGGCUCGCGGCCUAUCAGCUUGUUGGUGGUGUGAUGGCCUACCAAGGCGGUGGCGGGUAGCCGGCCUGGGGGGGUGGCCGGCCAGAGUGGGUCGGAGGCAAGGUCGAGACUCCGACAGGGCGCAGCAGUGGGGAGUAGGGAGCAGUGGGGGCAAGUGUGAUGCAGCGACGCGGCGGGAGGGAUGGCGGCGUGCGGGGUGUGAACGUCUUCCGGCAGUGAAGCGGUCCUGCCUGGGUUGUAGGGGGGUUGACGGUAGCUGGAUAAGAAGCGCCGGCUAACUACGUG
This 494-nucleotide ribosomal RNA is filed under the name uncultured bacterium. Its description in RNAcentral is "partial 16S ribosomal RNA". It matches the Rfam family "Bacterial small subunit ribosomal RNA", at positions 28 to 507 of the family's 1533-position model. The record is from RNAcentral.